AUUGAACGCUGGCGGCAUGCUUUACACAUGCAAGUCGAACGGCAGCGAGGAGAAGCUUGCUUCUCUGUCGGCGAGUGGCGAACGGGUGAGUAUAGCAUCGGAACGUGCCAAGUAGUGGGGGAUAACCAAACGAAAGUUUGGCUAAUACCGCGUAAGCUCUAAGGAGGAAAGUAGGGGACCUAAAUAAGGCCUUACGCUAUUUGAUCGGCCGAUGUCGGAUUAGCUAGUUGGUGGGGUAAUGGCUCACCAAGGCAAUGAUCCGUAGCGGGUCUGAGAGGACGAUCCGCCACACUGGGACUGAGACACGGCCCAGACUCCUACGGGAGGCAGCAGUGGGGAAUUUUGGACAAUGGGGGAAACCCUGAUCCAACCAUGCCGCGUGUAUGAAGAAGGCCUUAGGGUUGUAAAGUACUUUUGUUAGGGAAGAAAAGCUAGUUUUUAAUAAAAAUUAGUGAUGACGGUACCUAAAGAAUAAGCACCGGCUAACUACGUG
RNAcentral lists this ribosomal RNA (493 nucleotides) under uncultured bacterium. Its description in RNAcentral is "partial 16S ribosomal RNA". It matches the Rfam family "Bacterial small subunit ribosomal RNA", at positions 30 to 507 of the family's 1533-position model. The record is from RNAcentral.